ACGAACGCUGGCGGCAUGCCUAAUACAUGCAAGUCGAGCGAAUGAUGAAGAAGCUUGCUCUUCUGAUUAGCGGCGGACGGGUGAGUAACACGUGGGCAACCUACCCUAUAGAUUGGGAUAACACAGGGAAACCUGUGCUAAUACCGAAUAAUACCUUUCUCUUCAUGGAGGAUGGUUGAAAGAUGGUUUCGGCUAUCACUAUAGGAUGGGCCCGCGGCGCAUUAGCUAGUUGGUGAGGUAAUGGCUCACCAAGGCAACGAUGCGUAGCCGACCUGAGAGGGUGAUCGGCCACACUGGGACUGAGACACGGCCCAGACUCCUACGGGAGGCAGCAGUAGGGAAUCUUCCACAAUGGGCGAAAGCCUGAUGGAGCAAUGCCGCGUGAGUGAUGAAGGAUUUCGGUUCGUAAAACUCUGUUGUAAGGGAAGAACAAGUAGCGUAGUAACUGGCGUUACCUUGACGGUACCUUAUUAGAAAGCCACGGCUAACUACGUGCCAGCAGCUGC
This 506-nucleotide ribosomal RNA is filed under the name uncultured bacterium. Its description in RNAcentral is "bacterial SSU rRNA". It matches the Rfam family "Bacterial small subunit ribosomal RNA", at positions 29 to 518 of the family's 1533-position model. The record is from RNAcentral.